This 401-nucleotide ribosomal RNA is filed under the name uncultured bacterium. RNAcentral describes it as "bacterial SSU rRNA". It matches the Rfam family "Bacterial small subunit ribosomal RNA", at positions 30 to 432 of the family's 1533-position model. The record is from RNAcentral.
AUUGAACGCUGGCGGCAUGCCUUACACAUGCAAGUCGAACGGCAGCACGGGAGCAAUCCUGGUGGCGAGUGGCGAACGGGUGAGUAAUGUAUCGGAACGUACCUUUCAGUGGGGGAUAACGUAGCGAAAGUUACGCUAAUACCGCAUAUUCUGUGAGCAGGAAAGCAGGGGAUCGCAAGACCUUGCGCUGAUUGAGCGGCCGAUAUCAGAUUAGCUAGUUGGGGAGGUAAAGGCUCACCAAGGCGACGAUCUGUAGCGGGUCUGAGAGGAUGAUCCGCCACACUGGAACUGAGACACGGUCCAGACUCCUACGGGAGGCAGCAGUGGGGAAUUUUGGACAAUGGGCGCAAGCCUGAUCCAGCCAUGCCGCGUGAGUGAAGAAAGGCCUCGGUUGUAAAGUA